Molecule: ribosomal RNA, 253 nt
Filed under: uncultured bacterium
Lineage: Bacteria
Description: partial 16S ribosomal RNA
Rfam family: Bacterial small subunit ribosomal RNA
Source: RNAcentral
UACGGAGGAUGCAAGCGUUAUCCGGAUUUAUUGGGUUUAAAGGGUGCGUAGGCGGACUAAUAAGUCAGUGGUGAAAUCUUCCGGCUCAACCGGGAACCUGCCAUUGAAACUGUUAGUCUUGAGUACGGCUGAGGUAGGCGGAAUGUGUAAUGUAGCGGUGAAAUGCUUAGAUAUUACACAGAACACCAAUUGCGUAGGCAGCUUACUAGACCGUAACUGACGCUGAGGCACGAAAGCGUGGGUAGCGAACAGG